AAUUACCUACAAAUCGAAUUAGAAUUAUAUCAUAAAUUGUUCAACAAUCAAAACCCCCGUCUCACUCCAAAUCUUGAGAACCCGUCGCCACCGUCGCUGGCAUUAGCUUCGACCGCCACCACCGUUGUCUGCUCCAUCACCAAGCCGCCUUCAGCGAUCUGCCCCCUCCACCUUCCCCCGCCACGAUAUGCCACCUCUCUUCCCCCCUCGCAAUUCGCUGCAAACUCCAACACCACUGCCAUCUGCCCCGUCACCAAGACGCCGCGAACGAUCUGCUCCAUCCACCUUCCCCCGACGCGUUUUGCCUCCUCCAUUUCCCCUCCACCGCCGUCCGCCACCGCGCCUCGCCGCCCCGGCACCCUUCGCGAUCUAUACCCCUUCCGUCUCCACACCAGCUCUCAUUUCCCCCACCGCAGCCAUGGCACAGCCGCCGCCAAUGGCUGCCCUGCGCCUAGCACCACCGCCGUCAAUGGGUGUCUCGCCGGACAUUACUUGGUUCCGGAACGGUUCUUGAUUAGCUAUGGUAAGUAUUUUAUUAAGAAAUAUUAUAUUUGACUAUUGUGAAUAUGGAAUGAUUAGUGUGAAUUUUAAAAAGAACAAAUUUUGGAAAGAAUAAAAUUAUAUACAAUUAUAUGAUUUACCUAUCAAUCAAUAAUCAGUCAAUUCUAGAUACAAUUUAACAAUG
This 685-nucleotide long non-coding RNA is filed under the name Salvia miltiorrhiza (redroot sage). RNAcentral's name for it is "long non-coding RNA (SMIL_LNC007420)". Lineage: Eukaryota; Viridiplantae; Streptophyta; Magnoliopsida; Lamiales; Lamiaceae. The record is from RNAcentral.